RNAcentral lists this unclassified non-coding RNA (202 nucleotides) under Hevea brasiliensis (rubber tree). Lineage: Eukaryota; Viridiplantae; Streptophyta; Magnoliopsida; Malpighiales; Euphorbiaceae. The record is from RNAcentral.
GGUUGAAGAAUCAUAGAGAGGGUAACCAGAAUCAAAUACCCAUUUUCCUUGGAACCAAUUGCAUUUGCUUGCUAAUAAUUUCCUGGAACUGAAUAAGCCAUCAGUAUCAGUGUUAUUGAACAAGGUAGUGUUGAAAGUCUCAGCUUUUGCAGCUGAUAAAUGGGGAUGAGGAGAUACCAACAAAAACAGAGAGAGAAAUGAG